UACAGAGGUCUCAAGCGUUGUUCGGAUUCAUUGGGCGUAAAGGGUGCGUAGGCGGCGCGGUAAGUCGGGUGUGAAAUCUCGGGGCUUAACUCCGAAACUGCAUUCGAUACUGCCGUGCUUGAGGACUGGAGAGGAGACUGGAAUUUACGGUGUAGCGGUGAAAUGCGCAGAUAUCGGGAGGAACACCGGUGGCGAAGGCGGUUCUCUGGGCCUUACCUGACGCUGAGGAGCGAAAGCGUGGGGAGCGAACAGG
RNAcentral lists this ribosomal RNA (253 nucleotides) under uncultured bacterium. RNAcentral's name for it is "partial 16S ribosomal RNA". It matches the Rfam family "Bacterial small subunit ribosomal RNA", at positions 524 to 776 of the family's 1533-position model. The record is from RNAcentral.